Molecule: ribosomal RNA, 468 nt
Filed under: uncultured bacterium
Lineage: Bacteria
Description: partial 16S ribosomal RNA
Rfam family: Bacterial small subunit ribosomal RNA
Source: RNAcentral
AACGAACGCUGGCGGCGCGCCUAACACAUGCAAGUCGAACGGACACAUCAGUACCUUGCUUUUCUUGGCUUGGUAGCGGAGGGGUGAGUAACGCGUGUGUGACCUACUCUGGGGUGGGGGACAACAAUAGGGCACAAGUGCUAAUACCGCAUAAGCUCUCGGAUCCGCAUGGGCCUGCGGGAAAAGGGUUUGUUCGCGUCAGGAUGGACUCGCGUCCAAUUAGCUAGUUGGUGGGGUAACGGCCCACCAAGGCGACGAUUGGUAGCCGGACUGAGAGGUUGAACGGCCACAUUGGGACUGAGACACGGCCCAGACUCCUACGGGAGGCAGCAGUGGGGGAUAUUGCACAAUGGGGGAAACCCUGAUGCAGCGACGCCGCGUGGAGGAAGAAGGUUUUCGGAUUGUAAACUCCUGUCGUUAGGGACGAUAAUGACGGUACCUAACAAGAAAGCACCGGCUAACUACGUG